AGGAUGACAGUUGGUGCCCCAGGUGCAUCUGUCUCACUGUUCACCUUAGCUCAUCUCCAUAACUGCCCCGUAUAUCUCUGCACCCAAGAUUCACUCAAAAAGGCUACACUGCGCUAUGUUGCUUCCCUGGAGCUUGUUACAGAGAAUUUCUUUACCAUUUGAGGAAUGCGUUCAAGAUGCUGUGACAGAUUUGCAGAAAUCCUUCCGGAGGCACACCGCAAGAACUCAUGAGAGGAUGUGUGGUUUCCAGGCAGAUUUAUCUGAUAGUUUUCAGACAUAUGUGCACCAGGAAGAGGAAUGA
RNAcentral lists this long non-coding RNA (301 nucleotides) under Mus spicilegus (steppe mouse). RNAcentral's name for it is "lncRNA (ENSMSIG00000023719.1)". Lineage: Eukaryota; Metazoa; Chordata; Mammalia; Rodentia; Muridae. The record is from RNAcentral.